This 345-nucleotide ribosomal RNA is filed under the name Thermoproteota archaeon. Its description in RNAcentral is "bacterial SSU rRNA". It matches the Rfam family "Archaeal small subunit ribosomal RNA", at positions 1 to 312 of the family's 1478-position model. The record is from RNAcentral. Lineage: Archaea; Thermoproteati; Thermoproteota.
AUAACAACUCCGGUUGAUCCUGCCGGACCCCACUGCUAUCGGGGUGGGACUAAAACAUGCGAGUCGAGCGCCUUCAAGCUAUGGUGAAGGCGCGGCGAACGGCUCAGUAACACGUGGCUAACCUACCCUUUGGACGGGGACAACCCCGGGAAACUGGGGCUAAUCCCCGAUAGGUGAGGAGGCCUGGAAUGGUUUCUCAUCUAAAAGGCGUUUAGACCAUGCUUCUAGGCGUCGCCAAAGGAUGGGGCCGCGGCCGAUCAGGUUGUUGGUGAGGUAACGGCUCACCAAGCCUAUAACCGGUACGGGCCGUGAGAGCGGGAGCCCGGAGAUGGGCACUGAGACAAG